GUAAAUAUAGUUUAAUAAAAACAUUAGAUUGUGAAUCUAAUAAUAGAAGUACAAAAACUCUUAUUUA
Molecule: transfer RNA, 67 nt
Filed under: Myotis petax
Lineage: Eukaryota; Metazoa; Chordata; Mammalia; Chiroptera; Vespertilionidae
Description: tRNA-His
Rfam family: tRNA
About the family: Transfer RNA (tRNA) molecules are approximately 80 nucleotides in length. Their secondary structure includes four short double-helical elements and three loops (D, anti-codon, and T loops).
Source: RNAcentral